RNAcentral lists this ribosomal RNA (332 nucleotides) under uncultured bacterium. RNAcentral describes it as "bacterial SSU rRNA". It matches the Rfam family "Bacterial small subunit ribosomal RNA", at positions 28 to 334 of the family's 1533-position model. The record is from RNAcentral.
GACGAACGCUGGCGGCGUGCCUAAUACAUGCAAGUCGAGCGAGCGGAACCAACAGAUUUACUUCGGUAAGGACGUUGGGAAAGCGAGCGGCGGAUGGGUGAGUAACACGUGGGGAACCUGCCCCUAAGUCUGGGAUACCAUUUGGAAACAGGUGCUAAUACCGGAUAAUAAAGCAGACCGCAUGAUCAGCUUUUGAAAGGCGGCGUAAGCUGUCGCUAAGGGAUGGCCCCGCGGUGCAUUAGCUAGUUGGUAAGGUAGCGGCCUACCAAGGCGACGAUCCAUAGCCGGCCUGAGAGGGUGAACGGCCACAUUGGGACUGAGACACGGCCCAG